GCAGGCUGGGCAGAGUUAUUCUAGCUUAUGCAAUAUUCUUCGAGAGCAGGCGGAAUUUGCCGAUUUGGCCAAUAUCACACAACACAAAUUGAUGGUUGCCUUGUUACUUCAGGCUAUGGAGAACGAAAACGACAAGGUGACAUUAAUGGAACGCAACCCUCAGACAUUUGAUGAAGCCCGUCAUCAAAUACUCGAGCUUGAAACGUCCCGUCGUAGGACCAAGGGUAUGUCGGAAUCCCCUCGCCAUGUUUUUUUGUUUUUGCGGCUGCCGAUUAAGUCCCACUAUCGUUUCCAGAAAGACUCUAAGUCAGUCAAGAAGUCGUCUGAUGCUUCUUGUAAGUAUUGCGGACGCUCUGCUCACCCCGUGAAAAAUGUCCAGCGCUAAAUUGUCAUUGUUGCAUAUGCCACCAACGAGGUCAUUGGGACAAAGAAUCCAGAUCCCGACCCGUUAGUGCCAAGAUUCCGGAGGUCAAAAAGUUUCCCUCUUCUCGAGUUGGCUCUCUCAAACUUCGUCAGACUUCUCACACUUUGAGCACUGUUUCUAACGAGAUUAAGAUUAAUGUAGCACCCGCUGGUUCUGAGGGGCUCCCAAUCAAUAUCACAUUUUGUGCUGAUACCGGUGCUGACAUCUCCGUCAUUGGAGAUCAACUCUUCAAAAGUUCUGGUCUAAACAAAAUUGUGUCUCUCUCGGACAGUGUGAUUGAGGGCAUCGUUGGCAUUGAUGGCUCUUCCAUUAACCAAUUGGGCAUGUUCUCUGCGGUAUUAUCCGUUGUGGAUUCAUCUGUUCCAGGGACCUCUAUUGUGGUGUGCCAUGGAUUGAAAGGCGCGUACCUUGGUCUUCAUGCCUGCAAGGCCUUGACCAUCAUUGGUGAGAGUUUCCCGUCGCCAAAAGCCAAGGUGCUAUCCUUGCUGCUUCCAAAGCCGAAUUUCUCGCACCCCAGUUCGAUUUUCUGGGACAGUCGGGAAGAUUGGAUUUCUCAACUUCCCAAUGAGACCGGGCCAGCCUCAGGUGUUUGAGCGUGAUACUCUCGCCCCAUGACGGGUCCCAUUGUUGGCGACCCCAUGGUAAUCCACCUCAAAGAUGAUGCUAAGCCUUUCGCAAUCCAGUUGGCUCGUCAAAUCCCAUUCGCUAUCGAGGAUAAGGUUGAAAUUAUUCUUGAGGACUUGGUCAAGCAGAAUGUGAUCGUACAUGUUGGUGAUGUUCCAACAAUGUGAUGCCAUCCUAUUGUCCCCCGUCAUCAAAAGCAACGGCGAUGGCCGUUUGUGUGUUGAUCUCACCCGUCUGAAUACAGAGGUGAAGAGGAGUACUCAUCCGACUAAAACUCCUGCUGAGGCCAUCUCUGGUUUUUCGCCUGAGGAUUCGUUCUUUGCCAAACUAGACCUGGUCAAAGGCAGAUGCCUUUGGCCAAGGAAUCGCAGCCUCUUACUAUUUUCUUGACCCCUUUUGGGAGGUUCAUGUUUUUACGUUCUCCCAUGGGAUUUGUAUCGACAGGGGAUUCAUUCUCAUUUCGAGGCGAUGUGGCUAUGGCCGGAUUAAACGUCCAUAAGGUCGUGGACAAUAUGGCCUGUGGAGCGACGACAUUGCCAGACUUGGUGUAUUCUGUCAGUAAUGUGUUGGAACGUUGCUUGGCAUAUGGGUUGACAGUCAAUUCAGACAAGAGUAUUUUGGCAGCGUUGUCUAUUGAUUUCGUGCGAUAUCAUAUUUCCAAAGGCAGCGUUGAAAUGAAUUCAUCCAAGGUGGAUUUCAAAAAUUCGCCAUUCCCGCCACUCUUCCAUGCCUCAGAUCGUUCUUGGGUCUAGUGAACCAAUUGGGCAAGUUUUUCCCGAAUCUAGCUUCACUGACCUCGCCGUUCCGUCCAUUACUUAAAACCAAAAUAUGCUUUUUUGUGGCUCCCAGAGCACACUAAAACUUUCGAGGAGACAAAGCGAGCAUUGAUAUCACCUCCGGUGCUGGAAAUGUAUGAUCCAAAGUCUCAGACCGUUCUUCUCACAGACGCGUCCUGGAUGGGCCUUGGAUUUGUCUUGAUCCAGCUCAAAGCCAAAGUUCCCAAAUUAAUUCAAUGUGGAUCUCGUUAUUUAAAGGAUUGUAAAGGUCGGUAUGCGAUGGUUGAGUUGGAUACAUUGGCGAUUUAUUGGGUCGUUAAAAAGUGCAACGUGUACUUGGCUGGAAUCAACUUUACCGUCGUCACUGAUCACAAACCCCUUGUCUCCCUCUUCAACCAUCAGAUUCUGUGAAAUAGAAAACCCUCGUGUUUUAAAUUAUAGAACCCGUAUCAUGGGCUAUAAUUUCGUUGUUGAGGGGAAGAAAGGAAUUGAUCAUGCCAUACCGGAUGCUCUUUCAUGGGCUCCAGGAUCAAAGCCGGAUGUCGAAUCUGACUUUGAUCCCGUUGUUUUGGGUGAACCUCAUUCCUUGACGGUAACCUCGCUCAGAUCUGAAUACCCGGAUCUUAUUUUGGAUGAUGUCCUAGGAAUUCGCCAAAACAGACGAAUUGUAUUUGAAGCUCAAGGCCGCCAUUUUGGCCGACACGGUGAAGCACGCCCAUAGUGGUUAUAUGUCACUAUUCAAGAAGAUUGCCUCCGAGUUGGCAAUAAGAGGAGGAUAUAGUCCUAAGAAAUAGAAGGAUCCUUAUUCCACCCACGGCAGUUAAAGAGAUCCUUAAACGACUUCAUACCAGCCAUCAAGGUGUCUUUAAGAUGUUUUUCCGUCCUUCCCAUCAACCAGAACUAUUGGUCCAUGACACACUUCCAACCUGACCCUUCCAAGUGGUAAGUGCCGACCUUUUCACGUAUGGCUAUAGUGAGGAUUUGGUUUACUCGGACUGCCUCUCUGGUUACCCGUUGGCCAUCCAACACCGGACAUUUCCUAGUUCCGCUCUUUUAAUGAAGGAUUUUGCCCGGAUGUUUUCCAUGUUUGGAGUGCCAAAUGUGUUGUGCACAGACAAUGGGCCUCAGAUCGCUUCUCGGCCGUUCUCUCUUGUCCUGAAGGAGUGGGGUGUCACCUGGAUCCCAUCAACCCCAUACUACCCGCAGAGUAACGGCCGUGCCGAAGUAAUGGUUAAGUCCAUUAAGCACUUGCUGGCCAAAACGGGUGGAGAUUUCCACUCGGAGGAAUUUGCUGAAGGAAUGUUGAAAUUCCGGAAUACCCCAAUAGCCGAUGGCCAAUGGCCUCUCACUGGCGCAAAGAGUGUUUGGCCGGCCUCUUUGGUCUCGCCUUCCGAUCCACGAUGACCUUCUGCAGGUGAAUUUGCUCCAGAUUCCCACUUACAACGUCAAACGCCAAUCCACCCCCCCCCAAACGAAAACAAUAUCAUGAUCGUUCUGCCAAACCGCUAGAUCCGUUGGCCAAUGGGAGCGUUGUUUACGUUCAAAACCCUCAAUCGCGGCGUUGGGACCCAGAAGCCAAGAUCGUGAAAUGCUUUCAACGCCGUUAUUUGAUUCAAUUUGAAAAUGGCUGUAAAUCUUGGCGAAAUCGCCGUUUUCUCCGUUCAUCUCUUACAGAUUUGCCUGAUGCUUCCAAUAGAAAUGAACCAGAUGACGAGGACGAAAAUGUUUCACAAGUGCCAAGAAGAAGUACACGUUCUCGCCAUGCACCAAACCGUUUAGAGUAUUGUUGAUCCGGAGAUUUGUCACACAUAAUUUUGUUAUUUCAUUUAUCAUUCAUAGUGUUCCAAAUCUUAAAAAAGGGGAGUUGGAAUGAUCCCAUAAAGUAGGUUCCGUGUCGUUGGGUCUCGUUGAUACCCAAUAAAUUCCGCAAGGGGGUGUGUGGUGGUGCGAUCAGCUAGAGUAAGCUGACCGUCCACUGAUCCUCACUCUGCUCUCAACACCCGCCAUAGUAUCGUCUUUGAAAAUUGUACAGACUCAAACAUUCUGGCCUCUCCCAAUUCUAUGUUAUGUUGGUAAAGCAUUAGUCCCAAUAGACUGUGCAAAAUAUGUUAAUGGCCAUCGGUUUCCCCAACAAUAAUCUCCGCCAGUGGAUUUCCGUCAGGCGAUCUCCGCCAACGACAGUCUCCGCAAUGUCAACUCCACCAUUGUCAUGUUCUCAUUGGGAGCGUAUUGAGAUGACCAUUUAUUUCUGACUAGACCGGGUUCUUAUAUAGUGACUAGAAUGACAAGGUACGAGCACGUGCAUUUAUAAUCACCCCAACCAUAAUAAACUCCGCCAACGGUAAUCUCCGCCAUGGUAAACUCCGACAUACCAACAAAUUUAAUUAUUGCAUAGUUUCCUAUAUUUAUGGUUUUUCUUCCAUUUGCAAGUUACUUGAGACAUUGUUGGGCAAAUUUUUAACUUUUAAAGAUGCGUUUGAUGUCAGGAAAUGAGAAGAAUCACGGUUUUUAAAAGAAACAUAUAGCUUGGUUUUUAGAUGUAUGAUAAAAGUGUGAUUCAUGUACUCCUUACAAAUACGUGAUGUAUUACAGGGUGGAUUUGAUAAAGUGUUACAGAAUUUGUUGUGGCAAAAGUGACAAUGUAGCUGAACCAUUUACUUUCAUAAUUGGUGCCCCAAUUGCAAAAGGCAUUCGCUUUGCAUUGAAACCAUUGCAUCACUUAUUGAACAACAGCUUUCGAAUGACGGAAGCCAAGGUUAGCAAGUCAUUGCUAGGAACAGUACAGAGCGUGCCAUCAUUGAGCCUGACGUUCCAAGGGACGAGCGUCGCUGGAACAUUGAUGGUUCCUUCUGCCGAUUUUGAAUUCCAGCCUAAAAAUAACAAUAACAGGUGCAUAGACAAGCUGACAAUAAGCAGAUUACUCUUAUUGGCGGCAGACCAACCUACCGAUAAUGAUGAUUUAGCGAGCUCGGAUACAGACAUACUGUAUUGUGGAACACUUCAAGGCGACAAAGUAUGUAAUUUCGAUAAGAAUUUUGUUACAAUUAGAUUGACAGCUAACCAAAUGACCAAUGGUAAAGGAGCCAAAGUGAUUAUAUGUUUCCCUUGAAAUGGUUGGUUCUGACUGAGGUUCCCUGUGUGUUGUGUGCGAAAUACCCCAACGGUUUUAUUUUACGUUGCACAUAGGAUUUGAAAUAAAGAUUCCAAGAACCCCAAUAUUCGCGCAGGCCGUUAUUUUGGAACUUGGAGAAAAUUAGUACAGGUGAGCUUGAACUAGAUUUUGUGCAGUUAUUUCAGGACAUAGAUAUUGACCAAUCAGGAAACAUUACUCUAAUAUUUUGCAAAUGCGCACCCACGUCCCUUCAUAACGGUUUGAAAUUUCAUUUGCAAAACACACCCUCGUCCAGAAAUAACGGUUUGAGAUCUCAUUUGAAAAAAACCUCUCCCACUCUCGAUCCCACUGUUGAUCUCGCCCAAAUUUGAUUGAGCUGAAAUUUGUUAUUGAAGUAAGGCAUUCAUUUUCUUUGGUGUCUUUGCGUUCUGAUGUUUAAAAAAUAUAUAUUCUCAGGCAAACAA
Molecule: long non-coding RNA, 5400 nt
Organism: Tigriopus californicus
Lineage: Eukaryota; Metazoa; Arthropoda; Copepoda; Harpacticoida; Harpacticidae
Exons: 2
Source: RefSeq, a predicted model, not a curated record